RNAcentral lists this ribosomal RNA (253 nucleotides) under uncultured bacterium. RNAcentral's name for it is "partial 16S ribosomal RNA". It matches the Rfam family "Bacterial small subunit ribosomal RNA", at positions 524 to 776 of the family's 1533-position model. The record is from RNAcentral.
UACGGAGGGUGCAAGCGUUGCUCGGAAUCACUGGGCGUAAAGGGCGUGUAGGCGGGAAGGAAAGUCAGAUGUGAAAUCCCCAGGCUUAACCUGGGAACUGCAUCCGAUACUGGAUGGCUUGAAUCCGGGAGAGGGAUGCGGAAUUCCAGGUGUAGCGGUGAAAUGCGUAGAUAUCUGGAGGAACACCGGUGGCGAAGGCGGCAUCCUGGACCGGCAUUGACGCUGAGGAGCGAAAGCCAGGGGAGCAAACGGG